RNAcentral lists this ribosomal RNA (788 nucleotides) under uncultured bacterium. Its description in RNAcentral is "bacterial SSU rRNA". It matches the Rfam family "Bacterial small subunit ribosomal RNA", at positions 8 to 786 of the family's 1533-position model. The record is from RNAcentral.
AGAGUUUGAUCAUGGCUCAGAUUGAACGCUGGCGGCAGGCUUAACACAUGCAAGUCGAGCGGAAACGAGAAUAGCUUGCUAUUCGGCGUCGAGCGGCGGACGGGUGAGUAAUGCUUGGGAAUAUGCCUUUGAGUGGGGGACAACAGUUGGAAACGACUGCUAAUACCGCAUAACGUCUACGGACCAAAGGGGGGGAUCUUCGGACCUCUCGCUCAUUGAUUAGCCCAAGUGAGAUUAGCUAGUUGGUAAGGUAAUGGCUUACCAAGGCGACGAUCUCUAGCUGGUUUGAGAGGAUGAUCAGCCACACUGGGACUGAGACACGGCCCAGACUCCUACGGGAGGCAGCAGUGGGGAAUAUUGCACAAUGGGCGAAAGCCUGAUGCAGCCAUGCCGCGUGUGUGAAGAAGGCCUUCGGGUUGUAAAGCACUUUCAGCGAGGAGGAAAGGGUGUUGUUUAAUACGCAACAUCUGUGACGUUACUCGCAGAAGAAGCACCGGCUAACUUCGUGCCAGCAGCCGCGGUAAUACGAGGGGUGCAAGCGUUAAUCGGAAUUACUGGGCGUAAAGCGUGCGUAGGUGGUUUGUUAAGCAAGAUGUGAAAGCCCCGGGCUCAACCUGGGAACUGCAUUUUGAACUGGCAAACUAGAGUAUUGUAGAGGGUAGUGGAAUUUCCAGUGUAGCGGUGAAAUGCGUAGAGAUUGGAAGGAACAUCAGUGGCGAAAGGCGGCUACCUGGACAAAUACUGACACUGAGGCACGAAAGCGUGGGGAGCAAACAGGAUUAGAUACC